CAAUGAAAAUGAGUCUUCCACGAUCUUGAAAGUUUAUCGUAAGGUAAAGGGAUGUAACUCAUUUUAUUUACGAUGAAAUCGUCAGUCCAAAUAAUUCAUAAACUUUUUUGAUUGGCUUAUUAAUAGGUCGUCAACUCAUUUGCAUAUCAUUAUAAAUUCAUAACUUCCAGUUCGCUCACAUGUGACCUCAAAGCGGGUUUCGUUAGAUCUCCCA
Molecule: long non-coding RNA, 214 nt
Filed under: Mytilus galloprovincialis (Mediterranean mussel)
Lineage: Eukaryota; Metazoa; Mollusca; Bivalvia; Mytilida; Mytilidae
Source: RNAcentral